Molecule: ribosomal RNA, 518 nt
Filed under: Cerithium eburneum
Lineage: Eukaryota; Metazoa; Mollusca; Gastropoda; Cerithiidae
Description: partial 16S ribosomal RNA
Rfam family: Bacterial large subunit ribosomal RNA
Source: RNAcentral
GGCUCCUUGCUAAACAUAUAUAAGGAGUCGGACCUGCCCAGUGAAAAGUUUUAACGGCCGCGGUACUCUGACCGUGCAAAGGUAGCAUAAUCACUUGCCUUAUAAUUGAAGGCUAGCAUGAAUGGUUUGACGAGAGCGUUUCUGUCUCUAUCCUGUUUUAUAGAACUUAACCUUCAGGUGAAGAGGCCUGCCUAAUAUUGAAGGACGAGAAGACCCUGUCGAGCUUUAAGAGAAAAAGGAAAACUAUAUAUUUAUAGAUACAAGACCUUUUUUAUCUUUUGGUUGGGGCGACUAGGGAACAAUUAAAGCUUCCCUUAUUCUUAAAACUUUUUUGUUAGGAUCCAGCAUUACUUUGCUGAUUAAAAGAAUUAGUUACCGCAGGGAUAACAGCAUAAUCCUUCUUGAGAGAUCUUAUCGAAAGAAGGGGUUGUGACCUCGAUGUUGGACUAGGAUAUCCUAAGGGUGCAGAAGCCUUCAAGGGUUGGUCUGUUCGACCAUUAAAAUCCUACGUGAUCUGA